Molecule: ribosomal RNA, 239 nt
Filed under: uncultured bacterium
Lineage: Bacteria
Description: partial 16S ribosomal RNA
Rfam family: Bacterial small subunit ribosomal RNA
Source: RNAcentral
GCGUUGUCCGGAAUUACUGGGCGUAAAGCGCGCGUAGGCGGCGAUCUACGUCUGGGGUGAAAGCCCGGAGCUCAACUCCGGGACUGCCUUGGAUACGGGAUCGCUUGAGAAUUGGAGAGGCAAGGGGAAUUCCACGUGUAGCGGUGAAAUGCGUAGAUAUGUGGAGGAACACCGGUGGCGAAGGCGCCUUGCUGGCCAAUAUCUGACGCUGAGGCGCGAAAGCGUGGGGAGCAAACAGG